GAUGAACGCUGUCGGCGUGCCUAAUACAUGCAAGUCGAGCGAACAGACGAGGAGCUUGCUCCUCUGACGUUAGCUGCGGACGUGUGAGUAACACGUGGAUAACCUACCUAUAAGACUUGGAUAACUUCGGGAAACCGGAGCUAAUACCGGAUAAUAUAUUGAACCUCAUGGUUCAAUAGUGAAAGACGUUUUUUCUGUCACUUAUAGAUUGAUCCGCGCCGCAUUAGCUAGUUGGUAAGGUAACGGCUUACCAAGGCAACGAUGCGUAGCCGACCUGAGAGGGUGAUCGGCCACACUGGAACUGAGACACGGUCCAGACUCAUACGGGAGGCAGCAGUAGGGAAUCUUCCGCAAUGGGCGAAAGCCUGACGGAGCAACGCCGCGUGAGUGAUGAAGGUCUUCGGAUCGUAAAACUCUGUUAUUAGGGAAGAACAAAUGUGUAAGUAACUAUGCACGUCUUGACGGUACCUAAUCAGAAAGCCACGGCUAACUACGUG
Molecule: ribosomal RNA, 497 nt
Filed under: uncultured bacterium
Lineage: Bacteria
Description: partial 16S ribosomal RNA
Rfam family: Bacterial small subunit ribosomal RNA
Source: RNAcentral